Molecule: ribosomal RNA, 469 nt
Filed under: uncultured Desulfobacca sp.
Lineage: Bacteria; Pseudomonadati; Thermodesulfobacteriota; Desulfobaccia; Desulfobaccales; Desulfobaccaceae
Description: bacterial SSU rRNA
Rfam family: Bacterial small subunit ribosomal RNA
Source: RNAcentral
CCUACGGGUGGCUGCAGUGAGGAAUCUUGCGCAAUGGGGGCAACCCUGACGCAGCAACGCCGCGUGGGUGAAGAAGGCCUUCGGGUCGUAAAGCCCUGUCAAGUGGGAAGAACGGCCUCUGGUUGAAUACGCCGGGGGUAUGACUGUACCACUGAAGGAAGCACCGGCUAACUCCGUGCCAGCAGCCGCGGUAAUACGGAGGGUGCAAGCGUUAUUCGGAAUUAUUGGGCGUAAAGGGCGUGUAGGCGGCUAGGUAAGUCAGGUGUGAAAGCCCAGGGCUCAACCCUGGAAGUGCAUUUGAUACUGCUUGGCUUGAGUGCGGGAGAGGAAAGCGGAAUUCCCAGUGUAGAGGUGAAAUUCGUAGAUAUUGGGAGGAACACCGGUGGCGUAGGCGGCUUUCUGGACCGACACUGACGCUGAGACGCGAAAGCGUGGGGAGCAAACAGGAUUAGAUACCCCUGUAGUCUCC